Molecule: ribosomal RNA, 2903 nt
Filed under: Escherichia coli
Lineage: Bacteria; Pseudomonadati; Pseudomonadota; Gammaproteobacteria; Enterobacterales; Enterobacteriaceae
Description: 23S ribosomal RNA
Rfam family: Bacterial large subunit ribosomal RNA
Source: RNAcentral
GGUUAAGCGACUAAGCGUACACGGUGGAUGCCCUGGCAGUCAGAGGCGAUGAAGGACGUGCUAAUCUGCGAUAAGCGUCGGUAAGGUGAUAUGAACCGUUAUAACCGGCGAUUUCCGAAUGGGGAAACCCAGUGUGUUUCGACACACUAUCAUUAACUGAAUCCAUAGGUUAAUGAGGCGAACCGGGGGAACUGAAACAUCUAAGUACCCCGAGGAAAAGAAAUCAACCGAGAUUCCCCCAGUAGCGGCGAGCGAACGGGGAGCAGCCCAGAGCCUGAAUCAGUGUGUGUGUUAGUGGAAGCGUCUGGAAAGGCGCGCGAUACAGGGUGACAGCCCCGUACACAAAAAUGCACAUACUGUGAGCUCGAUGAGUAGGGCGGGACACGUGGUAUCCUGUCUGAAUAUGGGGGGACCAUCCUCCAAGGCUAAAUACUCCUGACUGACCGAUAGUGAACCAGUACCGUGAGGGAAAGGCGAAAAGAACCCCGGCGAGGGGAGUGAAAAAGAACCUGAAACCGUGUACGUACAAGCAGUGGGAGCCUCUUUUAUGGGGUGACUGCGUACCUUUUGUAUAAUGGGUCAGCGACUUAUAUUCUGUAGCAAGGUUAACCGAAUAGGGGAGCCGAAGGGAAACCGAGUCUUAACCGGGCGUUAAGUUGCAGGGUAUAGACCCGAAACCCGGUGAUCUAGCCAUGGGCAGGUUGAAGGUUGGGUAACACUAACUGGAGGACCGAACCGACUAAUGUUGAAAAAUUAGCGGAUGACUUGUGGCUGGGGGUGAAAGGCCAAUCAAACCGGGAGAUAGCUGGUUCUCCCCGAAAGCUAUUUAGGUAGCGCCUCGUGAAUUCAUCUCCGGGGGUAGAGCACUGUUUCGGCAAGGGGGUCAUCCCGACUUACCAACCCGAUGCAAACUGCGAAUACCGGAGAAUGUUAUCACGGGAGACACACGGCGGGUGCUAACGUCCGUCGUGAAGAGGGAAACAACCCAGACCGCCAGCUAAGGUCCCAAAGUCAUGGUUAAGUGGGAAACGAUGUGGGAAGGCCCAGACAGCCAGGAUGUUGGCUUAGAAGCAGCCAUCAUUUAAAGAAAGCGUAAUAGCUCACUGGUCGAGUCGGCCUGCGCGGAAGAUGUAACGGGGCUAAACCAUGCACCGAAGCUGCGGCAGCGACACUGUGUGUUGUUGGGUAGGGGAGCGUUCUGUAAGCCUGUGAAGGUGUACUGUGAGGUAUGCUGGAGGUAUCAGAAGUGCGAAUGCUGACAUAAGUAACGAUAAAGCGGGUGAAAAGCCCGCUCGCCGGAAGACCAAGGGUUCCUGUCCAACGUUAAUCGGGGCAGGGUGAGUCGACCCCUAAGGCGAGGCCGAAAGGCGUAGUCGAUGGGAAACAGGUUAAUAUUCCUGUACUUGGUGUUACUGCGAAGGGGGGACGGAGAAGGCUAUGUUGGCCGGGCGACGGUUGUCCCGGUUUAAGCGUGUAGGCUGGUUUUCCAGGCAAAUCCGGAAAAUCAAGGCUGAGGCGUGAUGACGAGGCACUACGGUGCUGAAGCAACAAAUGCCCUGCUUCCAGGAAAAGCCUCUAAGCAUCAGGUAACAUCAAAUCGUACCCCAAACCGACACAGGUGGUCAGGUAGAGAAUACCAAGGCGCUUGAGAGAACUCGGGUGAAGGAACUAGGCAAAAUGGUGCCGUAACUUCGGGAGAAGGCACGCUGAUAUGUAGGUGAAGUCCCUCGCGGAUGGAGCUGAAAUCAGUCGAAGAUACCAGCUGGCUGCAACUGUUUAUUAAAAACACAGCACUGUGCAAACACGAAAGUGGACGUAUACGGUGUGACGCCUGCCCGGUGCCGGAAGGUUAAUUGAUGGGGUCAGCGCAAGCGAAGCUCUUGAUCGAAGCCCCGGUAAACGGCGGCCGUAACUAUAACGGUCCUAAGGUAGCGAAAUUCCUUGUCGGGUAAGUUCCGACCUGCACGAAUGGCGUAAUGAUGGCCAGGCUGUCUCCACCCGAGACUCAGUGAAAUUGAACUCGCUGUGAAGAUGCAGUGUACCCGCGGCAAGACGGAAAGACCCCGUGAACCUUUACUAUAGCUUGACACUGAACAUUGAGCCUUGAUGUGUAGGAUAGGUGGGAGGCUUUGAAGUGUGGACGCCAGUCUGCAUGGAGCCGACCUUGAAAUACCACCCUUUAAUGUUUGAUGUUCUAACGUGGACCCGUGAUCCGGGUUGCGGACAGUGUCUGGUGGGUAGUUUGACUGGGGCGGUCUCCUCCUAAAGAGUAACGGAGGAGCACGAAGGUUGGCUAAUCCUGGUCGGACAUCAGGAGGUUAGUGCAAUGGCAUAAGCCAGCUUGACUGCGAGCGUGACGGCGCGAGCAGGUGCGAAAGCAGGUCAUAGUGAUCCGGUGGUUCUGAAUGGAAGGGCCAUCGCUCAACGGAUAAAAGGUACUCCGGGGAUAACAGGCUGAUACCGCCCAAGAGUUCAUAUCGACGGCGGUGUUUGGCACCUCGAUGUCGGCUCAUCACAUCCUGGGGCUGAAGUAGGUCCCAAGGGUAUGGCUGUUCGCCAUUUAAAGUGGUACGCGAGCUGGGUUUAGAACGUCGUGAGACAGUUCGGUCCCUAUCUGCCGUGGGCGCUGGAGAACUGAGGGGGGCUGCUCCUAGUACGAGAGGACCGGAGUGGACGCAUCACUGGUGUUCGGGUUGUCAUGCCAAUGGCACUGCCCGGUAGCUAAAUGCGGAAGAGAUAAGUGCUGAAAGCAUCUAAGCACGAAACUUGCCCCGAGAUGAGUUCUCCCUGACCCUUUAAGGGUCCUGAAGGAACGUUGAAGACGACGACGUUGAUAGGCCGGGUGUGUAAGCGCAGCGAUGCGUUGAGCUAACCGGUACUAAUGAACCGUGAGGCUUAACCUU